AACGAACGCUGGCGGCGUGCUUAACACAUGCAAGUCGAACGGGAAGUCCCUGCUUUGUUGCGGUGCGCGAGUUGCGAACGGGUGAGUAACACGUGAGUAACGUGCCCUUGACCGUGGGAUGACUUCAGGAAACUGGGUCUAUUAGCGGAAAGGAUCUCCUGCUGCAGGGUGGGGGUGGGAAAGUUUCGGCGGUUGGGGGGGGACUAGCGUCUCAUCGGCUUGUUGGUGGGGUAGUGGGUUACCAAGGCUUUGCAGCGUAGCAGGCCUGAGAGGGUGACCUGCCAAAUUGGGCCUGAGAUACGGCACAGACCACUCCGGGAGGCAGAAGAGGGGAAUAGUGCACUAUGGGAGGAAGCCUGAUGCAGUCAAGCAGCGUGCGGGAUGACGGCAUUCGGGUUGUAUUCCGAUUUCCCCUGUGACGAAGCGUGAGUGACGGUAAUGGGUAAAGAAGCACCGGCUAACUACGUG
Molecule: ribosomal RNA, 468 nt
Filed under: uncultured bacterium
Lineage: Bacteria
Description: partial 16S ribosomal RNA
Rfam family: Bacterial small subunit ribosomal RNA
Source: RNAcentral